Molecule: long non-coding RNA, 182 nt
Filed under: Mustela putorius furo (domestic ferret)
Lineage: Eukaryota; Metazoa; Chordata; Mammalia; Carnivora; Mustelidae
Description: lncRNA (ENSMPUG00000028604.1)
Source: RNAcentral
CCAUUGAUACCUACUUGUCAUCAUCAGCCCGGCAGAGCCCGAUGGGGCCCACUGACAAGAUGAGCGCCACAAGCCAUCCCCCAACAUUCCACAUGGCUGCCAAAUGUUUUAUCAGAGGAUGGGCACAGUGCUGAAAAAAGGAUUUCACAGUCUUGACUCAAUACAAGGCAGCAUUUAAGCAC